UACGGAGGGUGCAAGCGUUGUCCGGAUUUAUUGGGUUUAAAGGGUGCGUAGGCGGCUUUUUAAGUCAGUGGUGAAAUUCUGCAGCUCAACUGUAAGGACUGCCAUUGAUACUGGAAAGCUUGAGUACAUACGAGGUAGGCGGAAUUGACGGUGUAGCGGUGAAAUGCAUAGAUAUCGUCAAGAACACCGAUUGCGAAGGCAGCUUACUAGAAUGUAACUGACGCUGAGGCACGAAAGUGCGGGGAUCAAACAGG
This 254-nucleotide ribosomal RNA is filed under the name uncultured bacterium. RNAcentral's name for it is "partial 16S ribosomal RNA". It matches the Rfam family "Bacterial small subunit ribosomal RNA", at positions 524 to 776 of the family's 1533-position model. The record is from RNAcentral.